AAUAACCUACGUGUUGCUGCACGUUUAAUUCCAUGACCAGGUUUAGCUCAAAUCCAGGCUGCGUUUUUCUUACAUCAUAUGUACUCUUAAGAAAUAUUUCAUCGGAACAAUUGCCUUUUCUUACAUGAUUUACCCUUAAUUAUACUAAACUUUUGCAAAUAUUUCCCAUUAUGUGCUUUUGGUGCGUCAUACCUUCUGAAUCCCUAGUAGAAAAGCCAUAGAUUAAUUAGCAUAAAUGGGAGAUAAUCACAUUAACACAUUCGGCUCAAUUAUUUUUGUGAUGAUAGUAUUUCCCAUUAUGUGCUUUUGGUGCGUCAUACCUUCUGAAUCCCUAGUAGAAAAGCCGUAGAUUAAUUAGCAUAAAUGGGAGAUAAUCACAUUAACACAUUCGGCUCAAUUAUUUUUGUGAUGAUAGUGAAAAGACAGACGGAUGGUUUCUUCAACUAAGGAAAAGAAAGCAACAUGAUAUGUUUAAGUUGUUAUCUAUUCCUAUCUAUGAUUUAUCUUAUCAAUUAAAUAGGCACAGUUUACUCUUGUAGCAAUUUACAUUUAUGUUCAGGCUUACAUUAUGAUCAUGUCAAAGAUAAAUGACAUACCUGGUUAUAUAUAGCUGGGACUUAAACAGAGAAUAUUAAUCCGUACCGUGCCUGUAUGUUAACUCUUAGAGGAAGCUUUUGGUGAAGAUAUUUCUUAAAAAUAUAUUUCUGCAUUACCAAAUAUUCAUCUUUCAGAUUUUUUUUGUUUUUCUUUGAGCUAAUAUCCUCUAAGUAAACUUUCACAUACCCUCCUGUGAUCUUAUCUCAUCAGAUGUUGGGUGGGCCGGAUAACUACCAGUAAGUUGACAAUUGUUGUUUAAGAAAAAAGUCCAUUCUAAACCUGAAGUUUGCUUUCAGUUUAAAAUGAACCGGACUUCAAAUCCACAAACUUCGAACCCUGAACCUGGCCAACCUAGCCCUUCCUGUUUGGCUGUUAACAAGCGGGAGAUACCGAAAGCGGGAUGGAGUCGGUAUGUAGAGUCCAGCUGUAAUGACGGUGCACGGCGGCGGAACAGCGCUAGGUAGCGCUAACGAGCACAAUCAGCGGAGGUGGCGUCAGUUUCACAUGGAGGUGGUACCACAGGUGCAGAAUCAUGUGAUUGAUUGGGAAAGACGUUGAGCGAGAGGAGGUAGUGUAGCCACGAGCAAAUGUCCAGUGACUCGACAGCAAGGGCAGUGGAUGUCAGUCUAAUACAGAGAAGAUAAAAUCGACUCCAACGUUGGGGCGUGCGGGGGUCUCGCUCGAUGGCAUCCCUGCCUUCUGUAGGUCGACGAGGACUCCUUUGAUUGUGGAGGCCAGGGACACGUCAGUGGCACAGAUGCCCACAUGUUGGCACACAUGAGCAGGUGGCAGGGUGGUGCUAGGGUUAAGGGAGGGGUGGGAGGCUCAUAAGAGGAAAGGAGGGAGGUAGUGAUGCCACUUUAUAGAGGAGGUGGCAUGAGGAAAAAGGUGGACACACCAGUGAGCGAUGGAUACUACCGAAAAGGAGGUAGGAGGAAGAAGCUGAUGUUUGGGGCCCACAGUUGAAUAAGAAGAGGGCAUGGUUAACCUCGCCUUUUUCGCUGUGUGUCAAACGAGCAUAUUAUGUAGGUUGCUGGGAUUUGGAAGUUCAGGGUCCCGAAAUCAGGGAAUGGAAGUACGGGGUUACGACUUGCAGCACAAAACAAACUUCAGUGUUCAUAAUCGAUUUGUUUCUUUCCUGAUCUUUGUAUGCCCAUAUCUGGUGAUUAUCAACCUGACCAGCAUUGUAAAAUAAGAACUCCUGACACUAAAUUACUGAUCGAGGUAUAUUGUACAAUUUUCUUUUGUUGCAGCCUUUGUUUCUACUAAACCUUUGUGUACUGAUGACAAUGACAAGGAAUAACUUUAAAAGCUUUAAGUGUAGUUGUUUACUCAACCAUGGAGCACAGAUGUCUUAAUUUCUCGCACUAUUUGUUUGUUUUAGCCAUUUCUGUACAAGAUAGUGUGUACCUUUUACCAUAUUUGCUUGUGUGCUCUCACCAUCUGCUGGACUUUUGUUCCUCAAUGCUAUAUUAUCAUCUUAUUGCAGUUUAAGCGACACGGCAAUGAGGUAAGGCGUGAAGUUGGACGUGCGAAUGAAGAAUGUCUUCCUGCAGAAAAGGAUUUGCACAGUUCCAAACAUAAGGAUGUACAUGUGAAAAUGCAGAAACUGAAUGGAAGCUAUCAUGACUCGGUCUAUCAGGAUUUGGAGAAGACAAGAUACCAGAAAAGCCAAAAUGGCAAUGAAGAAGAUGAGAUUGAGGAGGGGGAACUGAUUGAAGAGGACCAUCAGGAUAGUUUUCCAAAAAGCAAGCUUAAUCAUCCAAGAAAAGCGACAUUGAAAUCAGUGAUUGAAGCAAGUUCGGCAGGUCAGUUAGAAAUGAUUAAUGCAAUGUCAAAAGAUGUUUGCGACAAGGAAGUUUCAUGGGAAUGUGACAAUAAACACAUACUUGAGGUAAUGGAAAAGAUGCAAAAGAGAAGGGAGAGGUUCAAAGAACCUGUUGUUACCCAAAAUGACGAAGAUGGGAAGAACGAACUGUUAGCUGUUGCAUGUAGUGCAAAUGAUAUCAAGAAUCUGCGACCUGCAAGGAAACGUCGUUGGGGUGGUAGUGGUUAGAUGCUUGAACUAACCUUAAGUCAUGCAUAUUUUAUCUCAUUGUCAUCUUCCAGUACUUGGCAGGAAUCGAAAUGUCAGGAAAACAUUGAGAAGAUGACUGUCUCCAUGGGAUCCAAGUUCAGAUACUGUAGAUUUGAUUUCUUUUGAUGAUUGGAAUAGGAUAAAAAUGUACAAACAUUCACAUUUUAUCUUUCUAAUUCACCUACAGCUCAUUUUUGUCAGAGAAUAAUGGCUCCAGAGUGAACAUCUGCACGUACUUGUAAUGGGCUACUCUUUGUUCGGGAGAGAAUGUUUUUUUUAUGCUUGGGUCUUCUAUCGUUACGUUUCUCUGCAAUAUGCACAUAUCGUUGUGUUGGCUGCACUGUUGUGCAGUGUGCAGUGCAGCUAUACGCCUGCCUUUAUCUGUCGAGUGUAUUUUCUGCUUUGGAGCUUUUGAUAACAGCCAACUUGUUUUGCAAGAAUUUAUUGGCUCCUAAGCAAGUUAUUUUACAAGUCUAAAAGACACUGAAAAUAUCCCUUCAAUUUAUGUUUUUAAAGAUGUGUCUGCUGUUUGUUGCUUCAUAUGUUUAAGCCGUUCAGACAAACCUAAGUGAGUGUUAUGCUGGUUUAUUUUUGUGUGAAUGGCUCUGUACCAUCGCAAGAUCACUCGACUCUUGAGUCUCUGACUGCUGGAGUUAAAAGAGUAUCAUCCGUUUGCCACAUACUAAGUGGCCCCAGCGGCCAGCGGCCAUCAGUCAGCCAGCAAAAUGGAUGUUGACAGUUUGAUACAUCCCCGGUCGCAUCACAGGUACAAAUGGAUGCUUCUGCUGUAAAAAAAAAAGAGAAGCAAGAAAUGGAUGCUUCUCUUUUCCUUGUCUGUAUUUCUGUAGCUCGUCUAUUUCAUUUCGAGAACACGACAUGGACAUUCGCCAAACCUCCAGGUGCACACAGUGGCAUCUGCACCCAUGGUGGUGGCCACACACCUGUUCAUCUACUUUUUCCUAAUCUCUGUACCUAUCUAUUAAUUACGUUUGCCCAUUUAGAUCCAAUCACCCUCUCUCUCUCUCUUUCCAUUUGUACCAUUCCUUUCCCGUCGCCGGCGACAUCUCCGUCUCCGGUAAACAACCCGCUGCCGCAUCCACCUUCCCACCUGCCCUCCCUCUUCGCUCUGCCCACACCCUAGGCGCUAGUGUUUUCCCCUUGGCGAACAACCAGCGGGCAACAGAAGCGCCGCUACCCGGGUGCUCGCGCCUCAGAUCCAGCAAUCCGCCUGCCGUCACGGUGGCCAUGGACGACAUCCAGGGCCUCCUGGCCCGCGACUUCGGCCUCCGCCUUCAGGGGAAGGCCGCGCCCAUGUCGGCCGCUCGCUCAACCGCGCCCAUGUCGUCCCGGGCUCCUCCGCCCCCGCCCCCGCCGCCACAGAGAGCUCUGUCCCGGGCUUCUCCGCGGAGAGCUCCCGUCCCGGUGAUUUUGUGCUGUGAUUUUUUAUUUUGAUUUUUGGUGUACCAUGUGAUUUUUUAUUUUGAAUCCAUCGUGUGUCAUGAUUUUGUGUUGUGAUUUUGGAGUACCAUCGUGUAUCAUGUGAUUUUGGAGUACCAUCAUGUACGGUGUGAUUUUUGAAUCUUUGUGGUUUCUUAUUUAAAUGUUCGUGAUAUGAUAUUUGAGUACCAUCAUGUACCCAUGGUACAUGACGAGGUACUAGUUAUUUAUGAAUGUUUGUGUUCUAAUUUUGUCCCGAUACAUGAUGUAAUUUAUCGUUGAUGAGGUACUUGUUAAUUGUAUCUGUGAUGUACCUUCACGUACUCAUCAUAUACUUUCAUGUACUCGUUGAGAUACUCACAAAUUGUUAAGGUAAAUGUAAUGUAUCAUACGGUGUACCCGUAUCAUAAAUUCAUGUACAGGAGAUAUUUAAAAACUGUUAAGGUACAAUACAUAUAUCAUAAUGUACUAAAUAUGUACUUAAAAAUAUGUCAUGUACCAUAAUAUACUUAAAAGUGGGAGAGAGAAAGGAAAAGAGAAGAGCAAAGGUUGUCAGUGGCUAGACUGUUAAGUCCCUCUAAUUUAGCGGGAAAGAGAGAAAGAAUGGGAGAAAAAGCCAAACUUGUGGCUAGCACCGCACCGUGGGUGCAAAUGCGACAAAGGGCACCGCCUCCGUGUUAACGGACGUUCGGCCUCGUGUUCCUGCAAGAUUUUUCUUUUUUGUUAUUCGGAAGAACCUGCAAGCGGGAUAGAUGAUCGCACAGACUAGAAAGAAAAACGCCUCCCGGAACAGAAAUACGCCACUCUUCCAGAAAACAUAAACUCCCACCAGCUGCUGCCCCACCUUGUCAGCGACGGCGAUUCGAACUGGCGCCUCCCGUGGCGACGUGGCGCGCUCCGAGCCUCUCCAGCUACUCACCCCCAUCCCCGGCUCCCCGCUUCCCCCUCCUACCCCCGCAACUUCAAGUUCGGCAGCAACGGCACCGCACACGCGUGGGCAGCCCCGUAAAUUCCAACCCCCUUCCCCUCACAAAGGCGCGCCUCGGCCCUCGGCCUGCCCCGCUGCUCCGACCAGAGCACCAGCACUCUCCGGCUCUGCUUCGCGCCAUGGCGAUGCGGCUCUUCUCGUCCUCCCCGCCACCCCCGCUCCUCUCGGGCCCUAACACGACAGCGCUCUUCUCCAUCCGCCUUCGCCGCGCGCGGCCGCUCGUCUCAGCCGCGGCGGCGGGGGGACCCGAGCGGGACGGGGGUAGGUACGACGCGGAGGCGGUAGGCGUGGGGCCGUUCGACAGGAGGAUGGAGGAGAUUGCGAAGAAGGUUCCGCUCUUCGAGCCGGCGAUGGGCGAGCCCCCCGCCGCGGCUGACCGCCCGCUGCCCAUCAACCUCGAGCUUUGGCUCCACCGGGCCAAGGUGCAUACCAGGAAGUACGAGUUCACUGACGCCGAGAAACUGCUUGACAAGGUGCGCACGUAAAGAACUGGGGACAUUACGCAGUGGAAUUUGAUAAGCAUGCAUAUCCAAAAAAAAGAAGAAACGUCCAUCUUAGUGAAACAACAAGAGAUAAUGAAGUCGCAUAGUGUGAUUAUCAGUUUUUUAGUUGUUUAUACAUCAGUAUUGAGUAGUUUAGUUGAUCUAACUGAGGAUCUGACGAUCUGUUUCUGAUCCAGUGUAUGUUGUACUGGCCUGAAGAUGGGCGCCCAUAUGUCGCACUUGGGAAGCUAUAUAGUAAACAGUCGAGGUUUGACAAAGCUAGAGCAGUUUACGAAAAGGGUUGCCAAGCCACACAAGGCGAAAAUCCUUACAUUUGGCAGGUAAUUAAUUUGUUGUGAUUUAAUGAGUAAGAAAUACCACGUUGUACUUUGUUUUUUAUGAACAUCAAUGAGUGACUAAUAGCUGUUCAUAGAAGUUGCUGAGACUAGAGUACACCGAGAGCUCCUCCAAGGGAUCAAGGCAGGGUCAAUUUUGCCUUAUUUACAGACACUAUUGAUGUCAAAACAUAAUUUCUUGAAUUGGUUUUACGAACUAAUUAGAAGUUGAAGAAAGUCAUCUGAUACUUACGAAUGUUAAUUCUGCAUGUACCUGGAUGGAAUCAUCUUUGGCAUUGUCCAGAAUGUGCAUGUUGUAUGCGCCUAGAAAUUCAUUCAGCGAAUGACAAAGUCCAAUAAAGCAUGCAGAAGUCAUUGUUGUCAUUUUACAUUGAAUUACAGUGCUGGGCAGUGCUAGAAAGCAGGGGCGGAAAUCCUCGGAGAGCACGGGAGCUAUUUGAUGCUGCUACUGUGGCUGAUGCAAAGCACAUUGCAGCCUGGCAUGGCUGGGCAAUUUUAGAAAUCAAGCAAGGAAACAUAAAAAAGGCUCGAAACCUACUUGCAAAAGGUCUGAAAUGUUGUGGAGGAAAUGAGUACAUUUACCAGACUCUUGCUUUACUUGAAGCAAGAGCAGAGCGAUUUGAACAAGCACGAACGCUAUUCCAACAAGCUACUCAAUGCAAUCCAAAAAGUUGUGCAAGUUGGCUAGUAAGUAUUUGCUUUACAGUUACCUAUUUACUACAUAAAUUGCAGGGCUGUAUUUUUGUAGAAAUUAUGAACUUAUAUAUGGCAACUUUCUAGUAGUCCUGGGCUCAGGUAGAAAUGCGGGCAGAAAAUAAUGUCAUGGCCAGGAAGCUCUUUGAGGUAAUACUUUACUUUCCGUCUCAAGUUAACCAUACAUUUCAUUCACGUUUUUGCUGAUCUAGUUCUCAUCCAUUUCCUUGAGUUCAUGUGUCUUAAGAGGUUCUUAUCUUAAGAUGUAGUGUAAAGUAGCAAAGUAGAAAGGAUCAAAGGAAUUCCACUAGAGAUGGAAUUGCUGUGGAUUCAGAUUAUUUGUUGGGAGUUAUCUGGUUGUUUUUAGAACUUAGAAAAUCUGCUCCACUUAACUAGCAUCAUUGUAAUGGUGAGAUUCAGUUGUUCAACUAUAACGACUGCUAGGGUCAUAAUGUAAUGCUCUCGGUUCACGUCUAUAUGUGAUGACUCUGCAUAUUAAUUAUGACAUUCCUUCAAAAAAAAUAUCAAAAUUCAUUGCAGAAUAUAACGUCAGUUUUCCUGUGCAGAAAGCUGUCCAGGCUAGCCCUAAGAACAGAUUUUCGUGGCAUGUCUGGGCACUCUUUGAGGCCAAUCAAGGCAACACUGACAAAGCAAGGAAAUUACUUAAGAUUGGCCAUGCUGUGAAUCCUAGGGACCCUGUAAUUCUUCAGUCACUUGCACUGCUGGAAUACAACUGUUCAUCUCCAAAUGUUGCCCGUGUAUUAUUUAGAAAAGCAUCUCAGAUUGAUCCAAAGCACCAACCAGUUUGGAUAGUAAGAUUUUUCUGCACUUAACUUUUCUGUUAAUCUGAUCAUUUCAGUUCCAUGUGCUUUUUUAAUUCCAUUUACAGUCUGCUUGUAAGCUUGUUUUAGUUUUUCUACUGGAUGUUCUGCCUGGUGAUACAAUUUUCAGUUUCUGCGUUGAUUUGGUGUAGUACCUCUGGCACUAUGGAUGCAAUUUGGGAGUGUCCUAGCUAGUUGUUUGUCAUUGUGUACAAUCCAAUGAUUUAGGGAAUGGAAACUUCAGGGAAUAUCCAGUGGAUCCAUUGAGUUUAUAAUAUUUUUUUGUGCUUUUGUUAUUAGUUGUGCAUUGUGCUCUAUAUCCUUUUACAAUCUGGAGUUUAGACUAUUUAGCCGGUGUCCUUAAAGACCUCCAGUGAUAUAUUUCGAGUUUCUCUAGAGUUUAAUUUUUGGGUGCGAUUAGAUAUAUUUUUAGGGUGUGGUUCAAAGUCGCCUGUUUUUUAAGAAAUGGGUCUUAAAUAUCAGUCGAAGUUUCAGAGCCGUUGAAUUAAGAUCUGAGGGUCAUCCUUAUUCGCUCAUCUCCUACUUGCUAUCGUUGGAUUAAGAUCCGAUGCCUAACAUGUCGAUUGAUCUCUAACUAAAAAACAGGCGACUUACAAUAGCAAAACCGAUAUUUUUAAUACUUAACUUUCACUAUAGGAGGUCUUGAGUGUUCUCUUCUUUGUUUUUAGAAAGAGUAUACAAGCAGGAGGAUAAACCAACACAUACCAUACUCGCACCACAACAUGCACACAUGCCUAACCUCCCCUACCGGUCGGAAUAUAUUGAAAGCUUCACCGGUUCUACUUGAUGUGGGCACACACUACCCCACUUAACGCGUAACUCAAGUUAAAAUCCGUCAGUAUGUCCACAUUGAAGUAAACCGAUUUGAUAUAAAAGAUACUCCCUCCGUCCUGAAUUAACUGACAUGGAUUUGUAUAAGAAUCUAUACAAAUCCGUGUCAGUUAAUUUGGGACGGAGGGAGUACUUGGUCGGAUAUUUCUUUAAAACUUAGGAAUGAAAAUAUAUGAUUAAAGUACCAGUUUGCUGAUAUAAAAGAAAAUUAGAACAUAUGUAUCUGCCUUGGCCUUGCUGUUUGAUGCUAAGUGCCAUGGUUGUCGCUUAUGGACUCUUUUUUUUUGUCAAAUUAUAUUUGAAACUUAGCAUUUCAUGUUAUAGGCUUGGGGGUGGAUGGAGUGGAAAGAAGGAAAUGAGAGAACUGCACGAUCCCUCUAUCAAAGAGCCUUGUCGGUUAAUUCAACAAAUGAAUGUGCUGCUCGUUGUCUUCAGGUAAAUAAUGUCCCUCAAACAAUAUCCUAUACUUGGUUAAAGUGCUAGUUAUAGUCUUGCAUCGUCUCGUAUUCCAUUCACUACUAUACAAUUCCAUUUGAUGAAUUAGUCUCUCAUGGUUUUUCAAGGUGAACGCUUGUAUGUGUGAAGCAUCUGGCCAUCUGCUUUACUAUAGUUCUACACACUUAAGCAGAUAAAACUUCCUCUUUACCCAUGAUUUGAACUACUCAAGUUGGCAUUCAUUCUAGUAACUGGAAAAUUAUAAUGUCACCACUAUAAGUAUCAGCCUAUUAGGUACCGCUAUUUCAUUUGCUAUCUUGUAGCAUAAAUUAUGUACCUUACUUUAUAGGCUUGGGGAGUCCUAGAGCAGCGUGCUGGUAACUACACCGCUGCCAGAAGAUUGUUGAGGUCUUCAUUGAACAUAAAUUCUCAGAGUGAGGUGACAUGGCUGACAUGGGCGGCAUUAGAGGAGGAACAGGGGGAUCCAGUUCGAGCUGAAGAAAUACGGGACCUUUAUUUUCAGCAGGUUAGUACUUGCAACCUAUGGAGUAACUUAAAGUUUGUGCCUGCAUCUCCAUGAACAACACAGUAGCAGCCUAGCAGGCUAGCAGCAGUUGUUGGUCUUCACAUUGUCGCUGAUAAUGCAACUGAUCAUUAACCAUCCUGACAGCGUAUCGAGGUUGUGGAUGAUGCCUCCUGGGUGAUGGGCUUCCUCGACAUCAUUGAUCCGGCUCUAGAUAGUGUGAAGAAGCUCCUAAACAUAGACCAAACUUUCGGGCCAGGCAGGCAAGACAAUGUGAGAAGCGCGACAGACCAAGGUAGAACCACCACGAGGACCUCUGCAGCUGGAGAGCUCUCUGGAGGUUCCACAGCUGAAGGUUCAAGUACUCCCGACCUCAACGGCGUUGACGACAGCCAAGCUGUUGGAAACACUCGGGAGGCAGAGAACGACUUUGAUGUGGACAGCUUCAUCAGGAGGAGGCUGGCCGUAGACCCGGCAGAGCUAGAUGCGUUGCUCGAGGGCUCUGAUCCGAGGAGAGUUGUCUCUGAGAGGAGAACGCGGCGGCUGACCAGGAAACCUCUCCCUCUUCUCCCCGUUCCUUAGUUCUUUGUUCUUCCAGUGAAGCAUGGAGCGGUUGCCAUUUCCAGCGUGCAUCGAUCACUAACAGGUACUGUGACCUGCGAGAUACAGUAGUAAGUAGGACGUGUAUUUCUGUGUAUAUCUGUACGAAUAAGAACGGCGAUGUUGUUAUUAGCAUUCCGCUGCUCAUUGUUAGGUGUAACCAUGUAUGUAUUUCUUUCAGAUGCUGAUACGAGAAGUAGUGUAGUUGUGUAUAGAGCGCCCAGCAUUAGUCAAUUGUAUUUGCAGUAUAGUUACAGCAUCUGUUAAGCAUUAUGGGGAAACAGUCUGCAAAUUGCCAUUUCGCCUAGAGGAGAAUUAACUUUAAGCUAUUCAUCAGAGAAUCUUUUAUACUUAUACCACAAGUGGGGUGUGUAGUUCAUGGAACUGAACUUAGGACAAGAAAUUCAAAAUGUAGACUACAAGAUUCGAGCAUCGUCAUACUGAAGCAACAAAUAAAGGCUGCCUAUGGCAUUGAUCAAGUUAGAGAAUCUCAGAGCAAAUUUGUUAGACAUGUUGCUACGGAGGAAAAGAAAGAAAUUGGUGUACAUAAGAAAAAGAUGAGACAUGACUAAUGUGAUAAUAUCCUAGUCUGGGUACAACAGAGACGAUACUGUCAAAUGGAAAGCAGAAACUAGAGCAGAACUCUUUAACAGUUAAAUAAUCUAAUAUGUAAUUCCUGUCUCCGUGUAGUAAACUCACAAGCUUAGCAAAAACAGUAUAGCAUGCAGUUGAAGCCUUGAAGCACAGUCCCUAAAACACCGGUCUGCCCCAGCACACACCCGGUGGCGGUGGCGUAUGCUGCCCCUGGAAAUGCGGCGGAUGUUGCGCCCCCAUAGGAGGUGGUAGUUGCUGCAGUGUCGGAGGUGCCGACGGGCCGAUGCAGCCCCAGUGAGGCGGUGGCGGCCGCUGCUGCAGCACAGGAGGUGGUAGCCAGUGCGGCGGUGGAGGAGGUGGCCAGCACCAAGGCGCUUGCCGUGGCAGCAGCUCCGGGGGCGCGCCCCAGAACGGUGCCGGAUACGACGGCGGUGCCGUUGGCGAGCGCCAGCAUGAUGGCGGUCCUGCAGGCUGAAGAUGCUGCGUGUACGUCGGCGCUCCCGUGCACGACGGCGGUGGCGCCAUGGGCAACGGCAAGCCCCAGCACAGGUGCGGAGGAGGCGGCGUCACCUGCGGCGAGCCGAAGCCUGAUGGUGGUCCACUCCAGCGCGGCGUCGAGCCAAAGCCCGGUGGUGCGGAGGGUAUCGGCGCCAACGUAGGGGUAGGGCGGCUCCAGCACGGCGCCGCGGACGAGCCGAAGCCUGGUGGCGGGGAGCACGGCGACGAAGGCGCCAGAGUCUCCUGGCGCGGGGGCGAUAGCGGCGGGGGUGGAGGAGUCGGGGAUCGCAUCGACAGCGGUGGAGGCGACGGUGGCGGCAACCACAUCUCUUCGUCUUCCUUGACCUCCUCCUUCACCUUGUUGGCGCAGCAGGACGAAGCGACGCGCUGGUAGGCAGACCUGCGCGUCCGCUUGGACCGCGCGCGCCGCACCGCCAGCGCGAGGACACGGUCGGCGGGCGGGGGCGUGGGUUGCACCUGCUCCGGCGGGUCCCCGGAGGCAGCGAAGGCGGCCACGCAGCCGACGGGACAUUCCUCCCAGCCGAUCGCAUCAAUGUCGGCCUUCGCCUCCGCGGCGAGGAUGACUGCGGCGGAGGGCGGGGCCGCAUGCGGCGCGCAGUGCAGCGUGGAGCGGCGCGGCGGCUCCAAGUCGACCUGCCCCACCAAAAGGCCCAUGAUGUGUCCUCCUGCUCCCUCGCAACAAUAAACAUCAAGUCGCGCCAACAGCAUAGCGGAAGCAAAAGGGAGAGAACAAAUUGAAGGUAAAUUGAACGAAAGGACGGAAGGAAACCUUGUGGUGAUGGUGGAGCCUGACGAAGCCAUGCAUGGAAAUGAUCUGCAAGCGAAGCGGCCAUAUCAGACUCAGAGUCGCACGUACGGAACGAGCCCAUCGCAUAGGAAGAGUGCAGAUUCAGUUUUAAAAAAUGGAAGAGGAACAGAUUAAGUCCAAAAUAUGGAAGAAGAACAGAUUAAGAACACUUGCAGGGGAAAUCGGAGAUCAAGGGGAAAGUUGGGGCGUAUGCAAACAACAAACAGAGGACGGAGAGGGAUUUGGUUAAGCACGAACGUGGUUGAGGUGGUCUAUGGUGACGCGGGUGCCCCAGGGGUCGACGAAGAACCGGUGGUACUUCUCCAGCGUCAGUGGCCCUCCAUGGAUCUCCGUCGUUUGCCGUCGUCUCCCUCUCCCCAUGGCUUCUUCGCUCUCCACCCACACGCGCCUCCCCUCUCCUCCUUCCGCUGUUCUCUUCUCUCUCCGGUGCCCACCUCUCGGCUCCGAACGCCGGUGUCUUUCUUUUGGGAUGGCCAACCUGACGACUGGCCCCGCAGAGCAGAUGAAGGAAUUGAUGCCGUUGGUGCGGCCGUGCCGGGCCCACGCACCCCUGCAGGCUUCCCUUUCGCCCGAACAAGCAGACAAACAAACAAGGCGUGAUCGACCCCCAACAAGAUCAUCCGAACAACGUGCAGAAAAUUGCACAAACCAUUCACCUUUGCGAAGCUUGUUGCGCAAAACACCCACUGUUCAUACGUCUAAUCCAUUGCACAUAAGUUCUAAUCCCAGUUUCAGCGUGAUAAACACGUUUCUAACAGAUGGGGCCCACCCGUCCGUGCCAACAUCGCGUCUCGGCCUUGCCAACGUGGAUUGGGUCGGGCCCAAGAGUACCUCGGGGCGGUGAGCCACGGCACGGGCGCGUCGGGCGGACGGCGCGGCACGACGCGGGCGAGCAUGCUUCGCGGCGCAGGCGCACGGGCGGCGCGGCGGUGCGUCAUGGCGCGGCUCAGGCACGCGGGCAGACGGGCGGCUUGCGGCACAGCACGGCACGGCUCAGGUGUGGGCGGCGUGGUAGGGCGCGGGUUACACGCGGACGAAUGGGCUGCGUCAUCGAUUACGUCGUCCGCGCCCAGCUCUGUCAUCGCCCUCUGCGGCUUUUUGGGAAUCCGGCGGCGGCGGUCCUUUGUCUGCGUGGCAGCAUCAGUGCCGGCGGCCACCCUGUACUCGGCGAGGUGAAACAAGCUCCAGCUCUGGCCGUCAAGAGGAGCCGUCGUCCCGGACGCCGGCGGAGGCGCGCACCUCGUCCGUCUGCAUCACGGGAGCAUCCAGCGUGACCGCGCUGCCCGUCCGCCCGUGUUGAACUGCAACGCAACGCCGCGCCGCUCCGAAGUCCUCUUCGGCCCGACCCAAUCCUCGCUGGCAAGGCCGAGACGCCACGUUGGCACUGACAGGUGGGCCCACCGGUCAGAAACGUGUUUAUCGCACUGAAACUGAGAUUAGGACUUGUGUGCAACGGAUUAGACAAAUAGUAGGUGUUCUGUGCAAAAAGUAUAAAUAAUAGAUGUUUUGCCCAAGAAGUCUCACAAUAAUAAUGAGUGGUUUCUGCGAUUUCCUCGAAGAACGUUUGAGCCUACCUUUUGCAGUCUUGCAGACCCAGGCCAAGACUCCAAAGCGACGAUGAGUCUUUGAUCCAUUCGCCUCGGCUUCGAUGGAAGUGAAGUUUGGUCAGGUCCGCUGCAGGUCCAGUUGUUACUUUAUGAAUGGCCGAAAGACACCAAAUAGGCCAAAUACGGCGAAGCGAACGCGACAUGCUCUAUCACUGUAUCACACAUCACGUGUAGGGGUGUUGAUCGCAAGCCACGAAUGGCGUCCCACCGAGUCGUUCCAACGGAUAAAGAGGGAAUAGCAAGGGUGUGUUUGGACAGUGAUCAAUGUUUAUCUAUCAAAUUUUUAGUCAAUUGAGUGUUUAUUUGAAUAAUAGUAAAAAAAUGACAAGCCAAUUCUCCACUACCAAUUUUAACGGGAAUGCCUACGUCUAAGUCGACUGAGAAACUCGAUGCUGCAUGUGUGUGUACAUUUUUUUUCUUUGACCACCAUUUAUGUGUGAAAAUAAAAACUAAAGAUAAAUCAUCCAACUCCUCUGCAUGCAUGGAUUUUGGUUCUUCAUAUAAGGUGGAAAACCACAGUGGCACCCCCAUGGAAAAUUACAGCUGAGACAAUUUUAAAAAUUACAGGCUAGGUGCAAUUUUAAAAAUUACAGGUGAAGUUUUAAAAUGUCGGCAUACAUAGAGAGCAAAAGAGUGGUUCCGGUAAAAAAUAAAUUGUUAGGGACCUAUCACCUAGAAAUUUGCAUAAUUUUUGCGUGCAAUUGUUAAAUUUGCGCAUAAAUUUCACUUGGAAUUUUUAAAUUGCCCACAAAACUCCACUUGCAAUUUUAAAAUUGUACCUAAAAUUUCACGUGCAAUUUUUAAAAUCUACUCACUCCGUCCCAUGUUAAGUGACUUUCUAUUACAUGUGUAUCUAGACGCUUUUUAAGCACAGUACACUCAUAUUUGGGCAAAUUUGAGUGACUUAAUAUUGGACGGAGGGAGUAAUAGUUAUUCUUUUUGUUGCCUUUUGCCUUCCUCCCUUUUUAAGGAAAUUAUGGUGUAACUGUAAAAUUACAGUUGCAAUCCCAUGCGGCGGAGAAAAUUGCAGUUGCAAUUGGAAAAAUAUACGGGUGCGGUUGUAAAUACUACAGUUGCAACGUCCAUCCAACUCGAAAAAUUAUAGUUAGUGCACAUGUAUGAUUUGUGCAAAUGUGAAACUCAGAUUGUGCAAUUCGAAAUAAACAUAGAGGCUUAGAGAAACAGACAACCAUUUGUGAUAAAGUCGAUCGGAUAAACUAAACAAAUAAAAUAGGGGCCAUAUUAUGUGCAUUACUAAUUAGUUGCAUAUGAAAAAAGAAAAAAGAGACAACAAAAAAUAAUUAAAACAAGGAAAAGUAAUAAAAAAAUUAAAAAUGAACGAAGUUAUAAAUAAGGAACAAAAAUAAAAAUAAAAUAAAAAACAAAACAAAAAAGUCAACAUGUAGGAGAUUCAAACCUCAAACCUCGUAUUGGC
RNAcentral lists this long non-coding RNA (14824 nucleotides) under Brachypodium distachyon (stiff brome). RNAcentral describes it as "long non-coding RNA (BDIS_LNC001327)". Lineage: Eukaryota; Viridiplantae; Streptophyta; Magnoliopsida; Poales; Poaceae. The record is from RNAcentral.